UCGUUAACGAACGAGACCUCGACCUGCUAAAUAGUUGAACGAACUCUUCGGGGUUUGUAUUGACUUCUUAGAGGGACUUUUUGUGAGUAGCUAAAGGAAGUUCGAGGCAAUAACAGGUCUGUGAUGCCCUUAGAUGUUCUGGGCCGCACGCGCGCUACACUGACCGGUUCAUCGAGUUUACAACCUUGGCUGAUAGGCCUGGGUAAUCUUCUCAAAGCCGGUCGUGCUGGGGAUAGAUCAUUGCAAUUAUUGAUCUUCAACGAGGAAUUCCUAGUAAACGCGAGUCAUCAACUCGCAUUGAUUACGUCCCUGCCCUUUGUACACACCGCCCGUCGCUAGUACCGAUUGAAUGGUUUC
Molecule: ribosomal RNA, 357 nt
Filed under: Eukaryota sp.
Lineage: Eukaryota
Description: SSU rRNA
Rfam family: Eukaryotic small subunit ribosomal RNA
Source: RNAcentral